This 1882-nucleotide long non-coding RNA is filed under the name Homo sapiens (human). RNAcentral's name for it is "HSALNT0356943". The record is from RNAcentral. Lineage: Eukaryota; Metazoa; Chordata; Mammalia; Primates; Hominidae.
CCCACCUCGGCCUCCAAAAGUGCUGGGAUUACAGGCGUGAGCCACUGUGCCUGGCCAGGAUUCCACUUUUGGUGACUAAUUAGCAACAGCUCCAAUCAUCAUGCUCUCUCAAGACAAUAUUUGAAGGCUGGAAGGGCUGCUUUUGUUCACCUGUUUCUUUUAAAUAGGGAGAAAACUUAUGAGAAAAUCAAAGCCCGUAUCAUCUGCUUCACGUCCCGCAUUUACUUAACGCUACCAGGCCUUCUUUUUCUUGAAGUGCUCUUUGAGCCUAUGUGGUUCCAGCAUGAGUCUCCUUGGGGGAUAUGUUAGGGGAUGCUGUCAGAACAACUACUUCUUGAGAAGUCCAAGGAACCGGCAGAAACCUUUACCAAAAAGAUGAUCAACUCAGAUACUGCUGCAGUGCAAAAGGACAGGCAAGGAGAAAGUUCUCCCUCUCUUUCCACGGUCUCCCUCUCAUGCGGAGCCAAAGCUGGACUGUACUGCUGCCAUCUCGGCUCACUGCAACCUCCCUGCCUGAUUCUCCUGCCUCAGCCUGCCGAGUGCCUGCGAUUGCAGGCACGCGCCGCCACGCCUGACUGGUUUUGGUGGAGACGGGGUUUUGCUGUGUUGGCCGGGCCAGUCUCCAGCCCCUAACCGCGAGUGAUCUGCCAGCCUCGGCCUCCCGAGGUGCCGGGAUUGCAGACGGAGUCUCAUUCACUCAGUGCUCAAUGGUGCCCAGGCUGGAGUGCAGUGGCCUGAUCUCAGCUCGCUACAACCUACACCUCCCAGCCGCCUGCCUUGGCCUCCCAAAGUGCCGAGAUUGCAGCCUCUGCCCGGCCGCCACCCCGUCUGGGAAGUGAGGAGUGUCUCUGCCUGGCCAACCAUCGUCUGGGAUGUGAGGAGCCCCUCUGCCUGGCUGCCCAGUCUGGAAAGUGAGGAGCGUCUCUGCCCGGCCGCCAUCCCAUCUAGGAAGUGAGGAGCACCUCUUCCCGGCCGUCAUCACAUCUAGGAAGUGAGGAGCGUCUCUGCCCGGCCGCCCAUCGUCUGAGAUGUGGGGAGCGCCUCUGCCCCACUGCCCCGUCUGGGAUGUGAGGAGCGCCUCUGCCCGGCCACGACCCCGUCUGGGAGGUGAGGAGCGUCUCUGCCCGGCCGCCCCAUCUGAGAAGUGAGGAGACCCUCUGCCUGGCAACCACCCCGUCUGAGAAGUGAGGAGCCCCUCCGCCCGGCAGCUGCCCCGUCUGAGAAGUGAGGAGCCUCUCCGCCCGGCAGCCACCCCAUCUGGGAAGUGAGGAGCGUCUCCGCCUGGCCAGCCGCCCUGUCCGGGAGGGAGGUGGGGGGGUCAGCCCCCCGCCCGGCCAGCCGCCCCGUCUGGGAGGUGAGGGGCACCUCUGCCCGGCCACCCCUACUGGGAAGUGAAGAGCCCCUCUGCCCAGCAAGACGCCCCGUCCGGGAGGGAGGUGGGGGGGUCAGCCCCCUGCCCGGCCAGCUGCCCCAUCCGGGAGGGAGGUGGGGGGGUCAGCCCCCCACCCGGCCAGCCGCCCUGUCCAGGAGGGAGGUGGGGGGGUCAGCCCCCCGCCCGGCCAGCCGCCCCAUCCGGGAGGUGAGGGGUGCCUCUGCCCGGCCGCCCCUACUGGGAAGUGAGGAGCCCCUCUGCCCGGCCAGCCGCCCUGUCCGGGAGGGAGGUGGGGGGUCAGCCCCCCGCCCGGCCAGCCGCCCCGUCCGGGAGGUGAGGGGCGCCUCUGCCCGGCCGCCCCUACUGGGAAGUGAGGAGCCCCUCUGCCCAGCCACCACCCCGUCUGGGAGGUGUGCCCAACAGCUCAUUGAGAACGGGCCAGGAUGACAAUGGCGGCUUUGUGGAAUAGAAAGGCAGGAAAGGUGGGGAAAAGAUUGAGAAAUCGGAUGG